CACGUAGUUAGCCGGUACUUCUUCUGCAGGUACCGUCACUUUCGCUUCUUCCCUGCUGAAAGCGGUUUACAAUCCGAAGGCCGUCAUCCCGCACGCUGCGUCGCUGCAUCAGGGUUUCCCCCAUUGUGCAAUAUUCCCCACUGCUGCCUCCCGUAGGAGUCUGGGCCGUGUCUCAGUCCCAGUGUGGCCGGUCGCCCUCUCAGGCCGACUACCCGUCGUCGCCUUGGUAGGCCAUUACCCCCACCAACAAGCUGAUAGGCCGCGAGCCCAUCCCCGAUCGAAAAACUUUCCACUAUCCCACAUGCGUGGAACGGUCAUAUCCGGUAUUAGACCCAGUUUCCCAGGCUUAUCCCGAAAUCAGGGGCAGGUUACUCACGUGUUACUCACCCGUUCGCCACUCAUCCACCAGGUGCAAGCACCCGGCUUCAGCGUUCGACUUGCAUGUGUUAAGCACGCAGCCAGCGUUCGCCUGAGCCAGGAUCAAACUCU
This 489-nucleotide ribosomal RNA is filed under the name uncultured Brevibacterium sp. RNAcentral describes it as "partial 16S ribosomal RNA". Lineage: Bacteria; Bacillati; Actinomycetota; Actinomycetes; Micrococcales; Brevibacteriaceae. The record is from RNAcentral.